ACCCCGUGAGGGGGUGGUGUUGCUGGCUUCUCAGUGACUCCGCAGUGGAAAGUCCCAGCCUCACAGCGCCCUGCCCCAGGGUCGGGAGCCAGCAGCCUUGGGAGAGGCAGGUUCCGACUUUGCUCUCCUCCGGAGAUGUCCCUUUCCCUUCCCAAGGAUACUGAGAUGCUGGAGCUGAGGAACGAUGGGGGAAAGUGUCCUUGCCAAAAGAGACGUGGACUUGGGGCUUUUAUUUCUGGAGCUGGCUGUCUAGCUCUCCUAAUGAGCGAAUAUGCUCUCUUUAAGGAAACAAACAAACAAAGCAAAAACACCAAUUCAUCUGGAUUUUAUUCAUUUGUUUUAAAUGCAAACAAACAAAAGGAGAGGGAGAAGUGGUUAUUUCUGCACCAACUAUUUCAAAUGCAAGUUACUCCAUUGCUCGGGGUGUUUGGAUGUGCUUGUCGCCAUAGGACCCACAGGGCUAGUUCCAACCGUUAUUCGAUGAAGAAAUGGAGAUGCAUCAAGGUCACAUAAUUGCUGACAGACACAGCUAUUUAACAGUGGAGUCAAGACCAGAGGAGAGCACAUCUGGAGGUUUCUUCUCUCCAUCUCUCCCUUGGAUGUGCUGCUUCAGACCCGGCCCUCCUUCCCACGGCCCUCUCCCCUCACAUUUUCAUCGCCUCAGAGAGGAGACAGAUUUCCCAUGACCACUUGUGCCUAACGGCCAGUCUCAAGCCUUCAGAUCCUCCUAGGCAACUCAUCUUGACCUCAACGAUCACUUCCUGACUUGCUGGGCUGCAUCAACCUUCUGGCCUUGCCUCCAUUUGAUCCCUUUGGCCUCUGCUGAACCUUGGGACUUAAGGCCCCCAGCUCAGGGCUCCUCUCACCACUGCCAAUGACCUGUUUGUUCCCAGCUCCCCGGGACUGGUCUGCUUAUCAUGUCUCUAAUCCCUGUGGUUGGAGCUGUGAAGAAAAAGCUUCUGGGCAAGAUGCCACUAGCAAGCCUGUCUCCCUAGGAACAGACCCCUUUUCUCUCUAGUCGUUCAGAAACCUACCCCUCCUCUCACAGCUGUGUGAAAAGAAGCCAAAUGCCCAUUCUUAAUGUGUGACGACUGAGGCUCACAUGCAGACUGCUGUUAUCUCAGCAGGAGAGCAAUUUGCAACCAUUUAAAACCCGUUCUCUCUUCCCCUCUCCUCAGUGUAUGCUUACACACACCCUAGUCCAUA
Molecule: long non-coding RNA, 1206 nt
Filed under: Equus caballus (horse)
Lineage: Eukaryota; Metazoa; Chordata; Mammalia; Perissodactyla; Equidae
Description: lncRNA (ENSECAG00000029938.2)
Source: RNAcentral